GACGAACGCUGGCGGCGUGCCUAAUACAUGCGAGUUGAGCGCUGAAGGUUGGUACUUGUACCAACUGGAUGAGCAGCGAACGGGUGAGUAACGCGUGGGGAAUCUGCCUUUGAGCGGGGGACAACAUUUGGAAACGAAUGCUAAUACCGCAUAAAAACUUUAAACACAAGUUUUAAGUUUGAAAGAUGCAAUUGCAUCACUCAAAGAUGAUCCCGCGUUGUAUUAGCUAGUUGGUGAGGUAAAGGCUCACCAAGGCGAUGAUACAUAGCCGACCUGAGAGGGUGAUCGGCCACAUUGGGACUGGGACACGGCCCAAACUCCUACGGGAGGCAGCAGUAGGGAAUCUUAGGAAAUGGACGAAAGUCUGACCGAGCAACGCCGCGUGAGUGAAGAAGGGUUUCGGAUCGUAAAACUCUGUUGGUAGAGAAGAACGGUUGUGAGAGUGGAAAGCUCAUCAAGUGACGGUAACUACCCAGAAAGGGACGGCUAACUACGUG
This 497-nucleotide ribosomal RNA is filed under the name uncultured bacterium. RNAcentral describes it as "partial 16S ribosomal RNA". It matches the Rfam family "Bacterial small subunit ribosomal RNA", at positions 28 to 507 of the family's 1533-position model. The record is from RNAcentral.